CCUACGGGAGGCAGCAGUGAGGAAUAUUGGUCAAUGGGCGCGAGCCUGAACCAGCCAAGUAGCGUGAAGGAUGACUGCCCUACGGGUCGUAAACUUCUUUUAUAAAGGAAUAAAGUGAGGCACGUGUGCCUUUUUGUAUGUACUUUAUGAAUAAGGAUCGGCUAACUCCGUGCCAGCAGCCGCGGUAAUACGGAGGAUCCGAGCGUUAUCCGGAUUUAUUGGGUUUAAAGGGAGCGUAGAUGGGUUGUUAAGUCAGUUGUGAAAGUUUGCGGCUCAACCGUAAAAUUGCAAUUGAUACUGGCAGUCUUGAGUACAGUUGAGGUAGGCGGAAUUCGUGGUGUAGCGGUGAAAUGCUUAGAUAUCACGAAGAACUCCGAUUGCGAAGGCAGCUUACUAAACUGCCACUGACAUUGAUGCUCGAAAGUGUGGGUAUCAAACAGGAUUAGAUACCCCGGUAGUC
This 460-nucleotide ribosomal RNA is filed under the name uncultured bacterium. Its description in RNAcentral is "partial 16S ribosomal RNA". It matches the Rfam family "Bacterial small subunit ribosomal RNA", at positions 338 to 795 of the family's 1533-position model. The record is from RNAcentral.